Molecule: long non-coding RNA, 728 nt
Organism: Rhipicephalus microplus (southern cattle tick)
Lineage: Eukaryota; Metazoa; Arthropoda; Arachnida; Ixodida; Ixodidae
Source: RefSeq, a predicted model, not a curated record
UGUGUAAAAAACAGCUGAUCAUUUCUGCGAGCCGCGUUUUGCAUUCUGUGGCAUAUAAAUCUGCGAGACGAAUGUAAUUAUGACUACUGAGGAGCAAUUUCGUCGCUGAAGGAUAUGGCAAGCUGCGAUGAACAAGGAUAAAUCGCAACAUUCUUGUCGUAAGUGUCUUCAAUACAUCACGAGAUUUGUCUACAUCAUCUGGAGCUUCUCGAUGAAGUGAGGGGCUGGCGUUCGGCUACCCUGGCAGUCGUUGUGCCUUGAACUCCUCAGUCUUUGCUGUCACCACCUCAGUAACCACUAUGGGCAUCAUCAUUUUUUCACAUUUAACUUUUCUUUCUUUAGUGGUGUUUUACUUGCAAGUAAGGUUUUCAAUACAAGUGUGGUGCAUAACAGUGUUCAAUUAUUCACCUUUUCACAGUCAUGAGAGGGUAUCUUCACACAUUACUUUUCCGUGUGCUUGUCGGCCUUCUAAACUGAUGCACACAACAGAUAUCACGUGGCUUCGUUUCAUCAGACAAGCCUGGCAUCAUGUAUAUAUAAUGUUCUAGUAUUAAUUACCCAUUUGACGCAGUGUUUCAUUCAGCAUAAUGUUUCUUGUAAUGUGUGCAACGUUAUAAAUCUCUGAUUUGAGAACAUGACCCCAUGAUUUCACAACGCGAAUUUAUCUACAAAAAGUGUAUGCAUCUUAGCAUUGGCAUGAGCAUGAAUAAAACUUUUUUUACAAUGUC